Molecule: unclassified non-coding RNA, 158 nt
Filed under: uncultured Ascomycota
Lineage: Eukaryota; Fungi; Ascomycota
Description: sequence contains ITS2
Source: RNAcentral
UCAUAUCCCAAGCGCUGCUUGGUGUUGGGUGUUUGUCCUGCUGUUUUGGCGCGGACUUGCCUUAAAUAUAUUGGCAGCUUGGAGGCCGGCCCGCAGCGCAGCAGAGUGGAGCGCUAAGUGUCAUUAUUGCUUCCUUGCGUCCAGGAAGCUUUCCUUUG